UCCCACUGGAAGGCUAUUCCAGGUAUCUACUACCCUUUCUACAUCACUGUUAGCCUAUACUGCUCCCACUGGAAGGCUAUUCCAGGUGUCUACUACCCUUUCUAUAUCACUGUUACUGCUCCCACUGGAAGGCUAUUCCAGGUAUCUACUACCCUUUCUAUAUCACUGUUACUGCUCCCAGUGGAAGGCUAUUCCAGGUAUCUACUACCCUUUCUAUAUCACUGUUACUGCUCCCACUGGAAGGCUAUUCCAGGUAUCUACUACCCUUUCUAUAUCACUGUUACUGCUCCCACUGGAAGGCUAUUCCAGGUAUCUACUACCC
Molecule: non-coding RNA, 322 nt
Organism: Pelobates cultripes (western spadefoot toad)
Lineage: Eukaryota; Metazoa; Chordata; Amphibia; Anura; Pelobatidae
Source: the annotation of a GenBank genome assembly